Molecule: ribosomal RNA, 267 nt
Filed under: uncultured bacterium
Lineage: Bacteria
Description: partial 16S ribosomal RNA
Rfam family: Bacterial small subunit ribosomal RNA
Source: RNAcentral
GAUGAACGCUGGCGGCAGGCCUAAUACAUGCAAGUCAAGGGGCCCCGCCUUUGGGCGGGGCACCGGCGGACGGGUGAGCAGCGCGUACACAACGUGCCCCUGACCGGGGGACAGCGGCGGGAAACUGCCGGUAACACCCCAUGGCGCCGCGGGGCGGCAUUGCCCGGCGGCGAAAGUUUCGGCGGUCGGGGAUCGGUGUGCGUCCGAUUAGGUAGUUGGCGGGGUGACGGCCCACCAACCGCUGCGAUCGGAGGGGGUGUGAGAGCA